This 107-nucleotide small nuclear RNA is filed under the name Aotus nancymaae (Ma's night monkey). Lineage: Eukaryota; Metazoa; Chordata; Mammalia; Primates; Aotidae. The record is from RNAcentral.
GUGCUUGUUUCAACAGCACGUAUACUAACAUCAGAAUGCUACAGAGAAGAUUAGCAUGGCCCCUGGGCAAGGAUGACACAAAAAUUCUAAAAAAAAAUCAAAAGCCU